UACGUAGGGUGCAAGCGUUGUCCGGAAUUAUUGGGCGUAAAGAGCUCGUAGGCGGUCUGUCGCGUCGGCUGUGAAAACCUGGGGCUCAACUCCGGGCCUGCAGCCGAUACGGGCAGACUAGAAUUCGGUAGGGGAGACUGGAAUUCCUGGUGUAGCGGUGAAAUGCGCAGAUAUCAGGAGGAACACCAAUUGCGAAGGCAGCUCGCUGGGACGUUACUGACGCUGAGACGCGAAAGCGUGGGGAGCAAACAGG
Molecule: ribosomal RNA, 253 nt
Filed under: uncultured bacterium
Lineage: Bacteria
Description: partial 16S ribosomal RNA
Rfam family: Bacterial small subunit ribosomal RNA
Source: RNAcentral